CGUGCACCAGUGGGGUCCCUUGGCCUGGCCUGCACCCUCUUGCAAUCUGGGACCCCUCAGGGGAUGCUGGAGAUCUGGUUUUGGCCCAAUCCUGCAGGCCAGGCCGAGGGACCCCACUGGUGCACG
This 126-nucleotide microRNA precursor is filed under the name Myotis brandtii (Brandt's bat). RNAcentral describes it as "mir-9193 microRNA precursor family". It matches the Rfam family "mir-9193 microRNA precursor family". Lineage: Eukaryota; Metazoa; Chordata; Mammalia; Chiroptera; Vespertilionidae. The record is from Rfam by way of RNAcentral.